RNAcentral lists this ribosomal RNA (419 nucleotides) under uncultured bacterium. RNAcentral describes it as "partial 16S ribosomal RNA". It matches the Rfam family "Bacterial small subunit ribosomal RNA", at positions 360 to 771 of the family's 1533-position model. The record is from RNAcentral.
AAUAUUUGUCAAUGGGGGCAACCCUGAUCCAGCCAUGCCGCGCGUGUGAAGAAGGUCUUCGGAUUGUAAAGCACUUUAAGUUGGGAGGAAGGGCUUUAGGUUAAUACCCUGAAGUUUGGACGUUACCAACAGAAUAAGCACCGCCUAACACCGUUCUGGCAGCCGCGGUUAUAACGAGGGUGCAAGCGUUAACCGGAAUUACUGGGAGUAAAGCGCGCGUAGGUGGUUCAGUAAGAUGGGUGUGAAAUCCCCGGGCUUAACCUGGGAACUGCUUUCAUAACUGCUGAGCUAGAGUACGGUAGAGGGUAGUGGAAUUUCCUGUGUAGCGGUAAAAUGCGUAGAUAUAGGAAGGAACACCAGUGGCGAAGGCGACUACCUGGACUGAUAAUGACACUGAGGUGCGAAAGCGUGGGGAGCAA